Molecule: transfer RNA, 74 nt
Filed under: Solirubrobacterales bacterium
Lineage: Bacteria; Bacillati; Actinomycetota; Thermoleophilia; Solirubrobacterales
Also listed under: 1 other name
Description: tRNA-Pro
Rfam family: tRNA
About the family: Transfer RNA (tRNA) molecules are approximately 80 nucleotides in length.
Source: RNAcentral
CGGGGCGUGGCGAAGCCUGGUAUCGCACCCCGUUUGGGUCGGGGAGAGCGCUGGUUCGAAUCCAGUCGCCCCGA